UAGUAGUAGUAGUAGUAGUAGUUAGGACUAUUAGGUUUACAAUUAUCCUAGUUUGAGUUUGUUUAGGAUUCCUAAUUUAUUUUGGUUUUAUAUUCCUUAUUAGUUACAAAUAGGACUAGUUGAUAAAAUAUAAAUACCUAUGUCGUCUAGGUAUUUUAUUAGAGAGAGUUUAUUGUAAUAUUAUCGUUGACAUUGGCAAUUAAUAAAAUUUGAGAAUUUGUUUUGCAUCCCUUUGUUCCUAUCGGUUCUACGUCAUCUACCUUUUGUAAACUGUGAGAAUUUUAUCGGAACUUCUAAUAGGUAGAAUACUGCAAAAUGUCCUAUCUACAUGUGAACUAAG
This 340-nucleotide unclassified non-coding RNA is filed under the name Hevea brasiliensis (rubber tree). Lineage: Eukaryota; Viridiplantae; Streptophyta; Magnoliopsida; Malpighiales; Euphorbiaceae. The record is from RNAcentral.